This is a long non-coding RNA of Athalia rosae (coleseed sawfly), 1070 nucleotides long. RefSeq lists it as uncharacterized. The transcript has 4 exons. Lineage: Eukaryota; Metazoa; Arthropoda; Insecta; Hymenoptera; Athaliidae. The record is from RefSeq and is a predicted model, not a curated record.
ACUACGCCUCAGUGUAUACAUGUGAUAUUUAUUCCAAUUACAAUGAUUAGAUGUUGAAACAUACCUGUAAAAUCUCAAAGUCUGGCAAGGUAACAACAUCUGGCUGUGACCUAUGCUGUACCACUUCGUCCCCAUCUUUUUCAUAAUACACGAUUGAAUACUAGGAAAAAUUUAUAACUAAUAUUAUCUGUUGACCUGUGAAAUAUUUAUGUUCAAAAUUAAAUAAAAUUUACUAACCGGAACACCAUCCAUUGUAACUUCAGGGAAUUCCAACAUCAAGUACAGGAGUUGUUGUUGGACAAUUGCCAUCGGCCUCAACACAAGGCCAAACUCUUAAAUCCAACAUUCCUUGCCGGAAUACUCCAUGUUUUCCAAACAGCGAGAUCGUUGUUCCUCCUACAGGUAGUUGUCUUCCUGGUCCAGCACAGUCAUAAAGUGUAAUACAAAGCUGUGCAUCUCUAGGUAGAUCUGAAUAAGCUACAGGCAGCGUCACCCAUUGAUUCCAGCUAAAGGUAGCGCAAGAGGUCUUCCGCCGGCCCAGACUUGAAAAGAUGCUGCAAGAUCUCCCCGUCCUCCUCCUGUUCCAUAUAGACCGGAAUAUUUCAACAUCGGAUCAACCAGCAGCUUAUCAUACUCUGGUCGUUGUCGUUUGCCCUCAAGAGUACCACUGAAAGUCUCCGUGUUAUGAGGCAUUCAUUUAAUACAGAAUUAGAAUGGAAAAAAACAGCAUGAGGAAUUGGAUGAUUCGGCAGCUGGUAGAUUAUACUAUUGUAUCAAAGAGGAAGAAAAGCAACGAAUCAAAUGUUUAAUGAUUAAAUUUAUGGACGAGCAAAUCACAUUUCAGAUCUUAAAAUGAAAUAUAUCAUUAGGCGAAUUGACUGGGAUGUGAAAUUUUAUAAACUUUACGGAAAGAGUCAAGGAAUGAACUUUGUCAUUCGAUGAUGCCGUAAAUUAUGUAGUAAACAAGGACUGAAGGCAACUAUGCUGAGGUUAUCUAUAACCUGCACAAAGUAAGAUUCUCUAACCAAUCUAUUUCGGAGUUCUACAUACUAGGUCACGGAGGAAUAGUG